Non-coding RNA from Vicia faba (fava bean), 237 nucleotides. The record is from the annotation of a GenBank genome assembly. Lineage: Eukaryota; Viridiplantae; Streptophyta; Magnoliopsida; Fabales; Fabaceae.
AUGACAAUUGAGCUUCUUCGUAGAAAAUCCCUCCUCACAGCGAACUCACGUAUAUACGAAUCCACACUUCACAUUUUCUACCCCUCUCCUUCCCCGCCUAUAUCGCCUCUGCUUCUGACUCCCGUCUUUUAUUACGAUCUCAGUAUUGUCAUUGUUCUGAUUCUGCUACGAAAUUGUUAUGAGAUUGAAGUAGCGAUGAUGAUUAUUGAUGUUGUAUUUGAAUCUUUGAUGCAGUGA